This 359-nucleotide long non-coding RNA is filed under the name Manihot esculenta (cassava). RNAcentral describes it as "long non-coding RNA (MESC_LNC006006)". The record is from RNAcentral. Lineage: Eukaryota; Viridiplantae; Streptophyta; Magnoliopsida; Malpighiales; Euphorbiaceae.
UUCACGAAUAUGCCGCAUUGCAUCGAUUGUUGUUGAUGUGGGUGAAUGUUGGAUGACCCAAUUAGUCCAUGACAGGAAGACCAGGACCCCAUUCUACGGCCUGGCACAGAGUAAGGAAAGACCAGGACCCCAUUCUACGGCCUGGCACGGUAAUGGGACUCGAAGACCAGGAGCCCAGAGGAGGCCCUGGGAUAAUGGUAAGUAAUGUAUGUAUGACAGGAAGACCAGGACCCCAUGCUACGGCCUGGCACAGAGUUAGCUUGGACUAAUUGGUGACAAGUUCACCCAACCCUUAUGUGAAUUGUCUGUGUUAUGAUGCAUUUCAUUGGAGCAUAGUGUUAAUAUGUUUUAUAGUUCUG